GGAUGUAAGUGCAAUCUGGCUGCAACAUCUGCCACCCCACUGAUAGGCAGGGUUGACUCGGCUGAGCUGGCUGCCUAGGCAGGUGUCCGCUUCCCCCUGCAACACUCCAUGUGCGUCCCUCCUCAAGCGCACAUCCUGUCGACGAGGAUGACCACCUCCAACUGAGAAGACCUGCUCCUCAGUCAGAGGUAUAGAGUAGCUGUGUGCCCCUGCUAGACCUCUGAACAAGCUCUCCAAAGAAAAAAAUAAAAAGGGCUGUAAAUGUAGCUCCAUGGGAAUGCCCUGGCUUCAAUCCAAAGUAAACAAACGAUCCAAAAUUAGUUUUUUGUUUUU
RNAcentral lists this small nuclear RNA (333 nucleotides) under Octodon degus (degu). Its description in RNAcentral is "7SK RNA (ENSODEG00000023909.1)". The stretch from base 1 to 279 matches the Rfam family "7SK RNA". Rfam says of the family: 7SK was discovered as an abundant small nuclear RNA in the mid-70s but a possible function has only recently been suggested. Two independent studies have found that 7SK RNA binds the CDK9/cyclin T complex (known as elongation factor P-TEFb). P-TEFb activates transcription by phosphorylating the C-terminal domain of RNA polymerase II. The record is from RNAcentral. Lineage: Eukaryota; Metazoa; Chordata; Mammalia; Rodentia; Octodontidae.